UCGCGCUGAGAUGAGACGGAAGUCUGGCUUGGCCCGGAGAUGGCUCGGGCUCCAGGCCUCCCGGACACAACUUCUGAAAACCGUGACGUGGGCUGAGCUGCCCAGGGAUCGUGUAAAGUUCAGACUGUGACUCGGCGUCUGUGUGAGUUCCCUGCGGCUGCUGUAGGCCAGGCUCUGAGUGUGACGAAUGGUUCAUUGUGAGUCAAACUCUUUCUGCGCUGGCCCUGGCGUGCCCCUGGCUGGACACUGUGAAGUCAGGCCAGGCUGGUCCUGAUGCCUGUGGGGCCGUGGGCCCACAGCCUGCACCGCUCAGACUCCAAAAACCAAGAGGCCGCUGUGAGCCGGCCGACCUCUGGAGGGCCCCCGUCGUGGUGCCUGGGCUGCACUUGCCGCAGUAGCUGACAACCACGAGGCUCAGAGCGACUCCAGGCCUGCCCCACGCGGAGCUCGGGCACCCGUCCUCGGGGGCAUCUGCUGCUCCCUCGCUGGCCCUGCACCCGCCUGGCAGUCUGUCCCUGCAAACCCCACGCAGCCCACGGGGUUGAGCUCACACGUGCCUGCCCGAGUCUGUGUUGUGCUGAUUCACAGGUAAACUGUGGGCUCAGGAGGAAGGUGCUUGGCACACACUGGAUGGUCAUCACACGUCGAAAAUGCACGCGUGCCUGAACGAACACCUGCACGAGUGGGAAUCAGGUUGAAAACAGUCUAGCAUAAGCCACGGUCAACUGGUUCAGCCAGUGUGGCUCCUCGCUCGGCCGGGCUCACCUGUCCUAGAAAUUCACGGGCAGGGGCGGCCUGGGAGCCGCACCCACGUCCCUGCCCAGCCCGCCUCCGCCACUGUCCUAAGUGGCUGGAGCAGGAUGGGACCGCGUUUCUCUGGCGUCACACCAGGCACCCUUGGUGACGCAGCCUCACUCUCGCCAUCCCCACGAGGGCAGGCAACACUCGCCCCGUCUCACAGAGGAGAACGUCGAGGCUGGGGCCAAGGGCUCGGUGCUCAGGACUCUUUCCACGCCGCGCUGCCUCUGAAAACACCUGGUGCUUUGUCUGAGUCUGAGCUGGGACAACCGGGCACCCCGUUCACCCCAGAACCCCCCAAACACCCCGUUUUGCCCACUUAGGGAGGACUUGGGGGAACCUGUCUCAUUCCCUUUGAAGUCCUGCUGGAGGCGGCAGGUGGCAAGGGAUGGGGCUGCCCGGGGAGCUGGAGGGAAGCGGUCUGAGUCCGU
This is a non-coding RNA of Vicugna pacos (alpaca), 1229 nucleotides long. Lineage: Eukaryota; Metazoa; Chordata; Mammalia; Artiodactyla; Camelidae. The record is from RefSeq and is a predicted model, not a curated record.